This 254-nucleotide ribosomal RNA is filed under the name uncultured bacterium. RNAcentral describes it as "partial 16S ribosomal RNA". It matches the Rfam family "Bacterial small subunit ribosomal RNA", at positions 524 to 776 of the family's 1533-position model. The record is from RNAcentral.
UACGUAGGGUGCAAGCGUUAUCCGGAAUUAUUGGGCGUAAAGAGCUCGUAGGCGGUUUGUCGCGUCGGAUGUGAAAGCCCGGGGCUUAACUCCGGGUCUGCAUUCGAUACGGGCAGACUAGAGUGCGGUAGGGGAGAUCGGAAUUCCUGGUGUAGCGGUGAAAUGCGCAGAUAUCAAGGAGGAACACCGGUGGCGAAGGCGGAUCUCUGGGCCGUAACUGACGCUGAGGAGCGAAAGCAUGGGGAGCGAACAGG